Molecule: ribosomal RNA, 580 nt
Filed under: Kocuria sp.
Lineage: Bacteria; Bacillati; Actinomycetota; Actinomycetes; Micrococcales; Micrococcaceae
Description: bacterial SSU rRNA
Rfam family: Bacterial small subunit ribosomal RNA
Source: RNAcentral
CGCAUUAAGUGCCCCGCCUGGGGAGUACGGCCGCAAGGCUAAAACUCAAAGGAAUUGACGGGGGCCCGCACAAGCGGCGGAGCAUGCGGAUUAAUUCGAUGCAACGCGAAGAACCUUACCAAGGCUUGACAUUCACCGGACCGCCUCAGAGAUGGGGUUUCCCUUCGGGGCUGGUGGACAGGUGGUGCAUGGUUGUCGUCAGCUCGUGUCGUGAGAUGUUGGGUUAAGUCCCGCAACGAGCGCAACCCUCGUUCUAUGUUGCCAGCACGUGAUGGUGGGGACUCAUAGGAGACUGCCGGGGUCAACUCGGAGGAAGGUGGGGAUGACGUCAAAUCAUCAUGCCCCUUAUGUCUUGGGCUUCACGCAUGCUACAAUGGCCGGUACAAAGGGUUGCGAUACUGUGAGGUGGAGCUAAUCCCAAAAAGCCGGUCUCAGUUCGGAUUGAGGUCUGCAACUCGACCUCAUGAAGUCGGAGUCGCUAGUAAUCGCAGAUCAGCAACGCUGCGGUGAAUACGUUCCCGGGCCUUGUACACACCGCCCGUCAAGUCACGAAAGUUGGUAACACCCGAAGCCGGUGGCC